AUCCAAAUCUUUUCACAAAUUUGGAGAAACAACUUUUCUGAGAAACUCGUCCUCAUUCCAGAAAGGGAAAGGGAGACAGACAGUUUUGAUCAAUCACCCGCUCUUGGAGCGAUGUGGAGUGAUCUAAACCCGUCGAGGAUGACUUAUGCGUGAUGCUAAUCCUAUUGGGAGGUCGUACGAGUCGAUAAAGACACGGGAAGAAAAGAUGAAACCCUAGCGUACCGG
RNAcentral lists this unclassified non-coding RNA (225 nucleotides) under Hevea brasiliensis (rubber tree). The record is from RNAcentral. Lineage: Eukaryota; Viridiplantae; Streptophyta; Magnoliopsida; Malpighiales; Euphorbiaceae.